GAUCAUGCAAAGCAUGAACAAAUGAUAGAUUAUGAUAGAUAAAUGAUAGAACAACUGACAAAUCCUUCCCAUCCAAAUAACAAAUGUGUCCCCAGGAAACCUUUCAUCUGUCCACCUUCUAGAAGGCAGUACACAAAAGCCCUUGUGCAAAUAAAAUUAUUACAAGACACUGAGCAAUACAAAAGACCCCAAACAAUAAAGGGUAGGAAGAAGAAACCUGUCCAAGAGCACAGAGCUGAGGUUGGUUUCAGCAGGUCUUCUGUCCCUUUUUUCUGUUCUCUUUCCCCUGUUCCCCUGAACAAAGGAAGUUUGUUGUCAGGUUCAAACAUUUCCUGGGCCUUGUCCGAGUUCCACCUUGUUUUCUUUUUCUCUUUUCCCCACCCUGUACAAAUAAAGCAAAAACCAACUGGCACCACCUGUGAGGAAAGGACAACUAAAUGCAGAAUUUUAUCUUUUCUUUCUUUUCUCCCUCCUUCUUUUUCCCUUUUUCUUGGCCAGAAAUUUUGGGCAAAGGACAAAAGGUAUUGUUGGGUAAGCAUAAUUCCAGGGGCUGAGUCACUAAAGCACUGGCUGCUGCUGGGGUACAGUAAGCCAAGCUGCUGCUUCACUAAGUGCAACAAAAAUGCCAGCAGCACCACUGCAAGCUCUGCUAGCCCCAAAGCACAAGGGACAACUGAAGAUCCACAUAGCACAAAAUGUGCAAAGAAAUUAAGUAAAAUACAAAUAUCCUCACCUAAGAAAUCUCAAGAGAAAGACUGUCACACCACAGAGACUGGGCUCUUCCCUGAAAACAGUAAAGGUUGUGAAGGUCACAGUAAAAAGUUACAGCCUUUACUUAUGACAAAGGAAGGCUCAGAUGCCUUCUUCAGUUCUUCAUCCAGGCCUGCUUUUUUGAUUUCACAACCCAAGUCAGACGCACAGCUGGUCAGUCCUGCAAGUGGCCUCUUUCCCCACCACUGUAAGCUCUGGCGGCAGGGAGCUCCCAUUGCUCCUGCAGCCCCAAGCACUGCUGAAGGGGCACGGGGCUUCCAAACAGCCCUACGAUGCAGAAAAUCAUCAGCCCAUUUCUGGCUGCAAAUUAAACGGUGCCCCAAGCGGGUACUUGCUCAGAGCAUGUUCUAAAGCACACUGUAGACCCUUGGAACUACAUGGCGCAUUUGGGGGAGCUGGAGCACUGGCUGUUUGUUUAUUUUAUGAUGCACUUUGGUCUCUCUCAGUUGCACUGUUAUCCUACACCUGUUUGCUCCCUUUCUCCAGGCUGAUAACAGGCAGCACGUUGUGCAGUGGGGGCCCGGCCUGGCUCUUUUU
This 1308-nucleotide long non-coding RNA is filed under the name Corvus moneduloides (New Caledonian crow). RNAcentral's name for it is "lncRNA (ENSCMUG00000019216.1)". The record is from RNAcentral. Lineage: Eukaryota; Metazoa; Chordata; Aves; Passeriformes; Corvidae.